RNAcentral lists this long non-coding RNA (824 nucleotides) under Olea europaea (common olive). RNAcentral describes it as "long non-coding RNA (OEUR_LNC002198)". Lineage: Eukaryota; Viridiplantae; Streptophyta; Magnoliopsida; Lamiales; Oleaceae. The record is from RNAcentral.
UAAACGUCGACCAUUUUUCCCAAUCCAACUGUUCAGACAUGAAUCUUCCGAAGGAAACCGAUGACGUUAGAGCCCGUUUCAAUGGAUUUCCCUGAAAUCAUAUUAGAAAAAUGUAUCCAACGAUCGCUUAAUUUUGCAAUAAUAUUUUCUAAUUAAUGACAGCAAUCUCUCAAACAAUAAUCUUUCAUGCUUUUCUAAGUUCAGAAAUAAUCAAUUUCAAACAAUUUCACGUCCAAAUUUGAAACCUAAAAGGAAAACAUUCUAAUUAUAGAGAUACUAUUUCCAGAAUCCACCCUACCAGAACCCCAAAUCAUCAUUUAACGGAGAGAGAAAAAAAAAAAAACAAACAAACAAACAAACAAAUGACGUAAAACCCAUAAUCAUUUUAUUCAAACAAUCGGAAACUCAUUUUAGCAAACAUUAAAAAAUGGCAAAACAAAAAUUUAUAUGAGAAGUUUCAGUAGCACUUUUUUACUGACCUGUUUUUCUGCACUUGAAGUAGGAGAAGAAGGUUGAGAGAACGAGCGCCUACGCCAAGCAGAAGAUUCACCCAUUGCUGAUUUUUACAUAAAAAUUAGAGAAAAAAAUCCCACUUGAAUUUCUUGAAUGAAUUAUUCUGUAUCUCGAAAAUCCUUAAAUUGCUGUUCUUCUUUUGAAAUUUGAAUGCAAAUUCAAGGACCCUCUAUAAGAGCAGUUAGAUAAAAAUCAAAUACAGCACAAAAGGGUGUCACUCGCAGAAAGUAAUGGCACAAGGUCUGUGUUUGAAGGUUUCGUGUUUGAAUUCAAUUAACAAUUUAUGGACCGACCAUACUUGCUAUUUCUCC